GACGAACGCUGGCGGCGUGCUUAACACAUGCAAGUCGAACGGAAAGGCCCUGCUUUUGUGGGGUGUUCGAGGGGCGAACGGGCGAGUAACACGUGAGUAACCUGCCCUUGACUUUGGGAUAACUGCAGGAAACUGGGGCUAAUACCGGAUAGGAGCUCCUGAUGCAUGGUGGGGGUCGGAAAGUUUCGGAGGAUGGGGAUGGACUGGCGGCUUAUCAGUUUGUUGGUGGGGUAGUGGCUUACCAAGGCCUUGAAGGGAAGCCGGCCUGAGAGGGUGACCGGCCACAUUGGCACUGUGAUACGGCCCAGACUCCUACGGGAGGCAGCAGUGUGGAAUAUUGCCCAAUGGGCCGAAGCCUGAUGCAGCAACGCCGCGUGCGGGAUGACGGCCUUCGGGUUGUAAACCGCUUUCGGCUGUGACGAAGCGUGAGUGCCGGUACUGGGUGAAGAAGCACCGGCUAACUACGUG
This 468-nucleotide ribosomal RNA is filed under the name uncultured bacterium. RNAcentral describes it as "partial 16S ribosomal RNA". It matches the Rfam family "Bacterial small subunit ribosomal RNA", at positions 28 to 507 of the family's 1533-position model. The record is from RNAcentral.